UACAGAGGGGGCAAGCGUUGUUCGGAAUUAUUGGGCGUAAAGGGCGCGUAGGCGGCCCGGUAAGUCAAAGGUGAAAUCCCUCGGCUCAACUGAGGAACUGCCUUUGAAACUGUCGGGCUUGAGGCCGGGAGAGGGAAGUGGAAUUUCCGGUGUAGCGGUGAAAUGCGUAGAUAUCGGAAGGAACAUCAGUGGCGAAAGCGACCUCCUGGACCAAUACUGACGCUCAUGUGCGAAAGCGUGGGGAGCAAACAGG
Molecule: ribosomal RNA, 253 nt
Filed under: uncultured bacterium
Lineage: Bacteria
Description: partial 16S ribosomal RNA
Rfam family: Bacterial small subunit ribosomal RNA
Source: RNAcentral